CUGCGCUGGACCACGGCUAUCCACUGUGCUGUACCAGUCAAAUUCGGGCCAAGCGGCUAAUGUGGGAUGGAAAGACUCGUUCUCCCACCCCGGCUCAAAGAAGCCUAGAAGCCCACAUGUUACUAGGGGAGGGGAGGGGAGGAGAAAUUACUAGGGGAAGAUCUGACGAACCAAUCGGCCGAUGAUUUUCCCUCUUGUUGGCCAAGAACCCAAGCAGUGCUCUCUCGAGUUGCCGAUUGCUCUUGCUCGCAGCCACCACGGACCGGAGGAGAGAGGAUUCGUGAUUGUAUAUGUAGAGGAGAACCAACCAUAUUUGGCUCUUUACUCCCUUCCUAGCUGAUGGGUAUGGGAGGAACCCUUCCAGAUUCGCCUCCUGGAUCCGAUUCCUCCCUAAGUGACGAGUUCUCCUAGGUUGCCCUCAGGGGACAAGGCGAUGGGGCUAGGGAAGGGGGUUGCUGGAAUGGAUUGUCACCUAUGGGCUUAGAGAAGGAGGUCCGGGGGAGGUAGGGCGGCCUAGCGGUGCUUGCGGGCGGCGGUGGCGAAUCCGGCGGCGUUGGCGGAGGCUGGGGGGGAGGACGCUGGGAAUGGCGGAGGCGGGUGGAGGCAGGAGCGGACGGGGGAAGAAGGUGAUGCUGGAGCCGUAAGAUCUAUGACAGCCCAGAUUUUGGUUGUUUUUCCAACCAGUUGGACUAUAGCAUGACCUUAUAAAAAAAAAUCCCAGUUUAUCAACGUUUACGUCGCUCAUAACAUCAGUUGCGUGACGAGAUCGGUUUCUGAAACUUUGAGGCCUUUUAGCCAUUGUAUUAUGUGUUUUUACCUGUGCUCGGUUCCAGAAGAUCUCUAAUUCUGACA
Molecule: long non-coding RNA, 852 nt
Organism: Panicum virgatum (switchgrass)
Lineage: Eukaryota; Viridiplantae; Streptophyta; Magnoliopsida; Poales; Poaceae
Exons: 2
Source: RefSeq, a predicted model, not a curated record